GCGCGAAACCUCCGCAAUGCGAGAAAUCGCGACGGGGGACCCCAAGUGCCACUCUUAACGGGUGGCUUUCUUAAGUGUAAAAGCUUUUGGAAUAAGGGCUGGGCAAGACCGGUGCCAGCCGCCGCGGUAACACCGGCAGCCCAAGUGGUGGCCAUUUUAUUGGGCCUAAAGCGUUCGUAGCCGGCCUGAUAAGUCUCUGGUGAAAUCCCACAGCUUAACUGUGGGAAUUGCUGGAGAUACUAUCAGGCUUGAGGUCGGGAGAGGUUAGAGGUACUCCCAGGGUAGGGGUGAAACCCGUAUAAUCCUGGGAGGACCACCUGUGGCGAAGGCGUCUAACUGGAACGAACCUGACGGUGAGUAACGAAAGCCAGGGGCGCGAACCGGAUUAGAAACCCUAGU
RNAcentral lists this ribosomal RNA (399 nucleotides) under uncultured bacterium. RNAcentral describes it as "bacterial SSU rRNA". It matches the Rfam family "Archaeal small subunit ribosomal RNA", at positions 339 to 742 of the family's 1478-position model. The record is from RNAcentral.